Molecule: ribosomal RNA, 258 nt
Filed under: uncultured bacterium
Lineage: Bacteria
Description: partial 16S ribosomal RNA
Rfam family: Bacterial small subunit ribosomal RNA
Source: RNAcentral
UACAGAGGGUGCGAGCGUUGUCCGGAAUCACUGGGCGUAAAGGGCGCGUAGGUGGCGACCCAAGUCGAUGGUGAAAGCUCGCCGCUCAACGGCGAGUCGGCCACCGAUACUGGGUUGCUGGAGCACUGUAGAGGCUCAUGGAAUUCCGGGUGUAGCGGUGGAAUGCGUAGAGAUCCGGAGGAACACCAGUGGCGAAGGCGGCUGGGCUGGACCUGACCUGAGCGCGUGAGGCGGCGAAGGCGUGGGGAGCGAACCGGG